AAGAAUACGUCUGCAUCAAAUGAAUCACACAUUUUGACAUAAAUUCAUCCAGGUGUCUGGUAUACGGACAUAUGAGGACCUGGGAGUGACCCUCUUGGACUGAAAGAAGACAUGGCGCCAAUAAGCUUAGGCAGUGAGAAUGCCUUUCGCUGGGCCAAGAGACAUAACCGAACUCGUCAGUUCAUGCAACAGUCAGGAUUGAGGCCAGGCUGCAAAUAUGGGCCUGCCCACCACCUAUGUGGCUACUAGGACAGCGUGGCUGCCAUUCUUCAAGGUGUCAGGCCUUCUGACAAAGUCCGCUUUGGAGAAGGAGCGCUAUGGAGCCCUUCUGGAAGAGUAGAAAGCGUACAGGCACUACGGCCGAAAAGAUGGGAUCCCUCUUGUGCGUGUCGUCAGCUGAGGGAUCCAGGAGAAGCCCCUUAACAUCUCAGAG
RNAcentral lists this long non-coding RNA (433 nucleotides) under Equus caballus (horse). Its description in RNAcentral is "lncRNA (ENSECAG00000051005.1)". The record is from RNAcentral. Lineage: Eukaryota; Metazoa; Chordata; Mammalia; Perissodactyla; Equidae.